This is a long non-coding RNA of Bos taurus (domestic cattle), 1649 nucleotides long. The record is from Ensembl. NCBI's taxonomy places the organism in Eukaryota, Metazoa, Chordata, Mammalia, Artiodactyla, Bovidae.
ACAUUACUCAGUCCCUGGGACUUCGCAGCUGCUCUAGGUGGAGGAGCCUGUCAAGCUGCAUCAGUCAUAUCCGGGCUGAAAGAGCCGAGUCUUGAUGCUCUCAAAGACUGGAGUUUGCUUUGUAUGUGCUUCUAAAGGGUAUCCAGGCUCAAGAAUCCGAAGGGAAAGUUGGGUUGAACAUCGAAAGAACACUUUAAGUGGUAUUGUUUUCUUCCUGUGGGGAAUUAAAUUGCAAAGGUUAGCAGAGACUGUUGAAGACACACGGAAAAGUCACAGUUGGCGAGGCACUUACCCCACUGUGCACACACAUUCAAGCGUGAUUGGUUCUUCGCAUGCCCUUUGCCAACCCAGGCUGCUUUAAAAUUCCUUCCAAGGAAGUACUCCGUGCCUGGUACCACUCUGCAAACAAAGUUCUACUAAGGUUUUAAAACAAUGAGACAAAGAAGGCUGCGAAGGUGAACCCCAACACGACAGCCCCGCUGCUGCCUGUGGUCUGGCUGCUGAAGGUCAGAGAGGACAAGCGGUCUCGAAGAUGCAGCCGUCUGCACCACUCCUGCCAGGGCCAGCAACCCUGGGAAAUCGGCCUGUAAAAUGAGCAGCUCCUGUUCAACAGCACACUCCCAGCUGCUCCCCACCUCCAUGGCUGCCGUUGGACAUGACAGAGCAGCAGGCCCAGCCCGGCUCGGCUCUCACUGCUGAAGACCUGGCGGGAGCCCAGGCUGGCAGGCACAGUGGGCAGAAGCCUCAUGAGCAGUCCAGGGUGGCACCGCCAUGCUCCUACCUGCACCGUCUCCUCCACCUUUGGCUGGAUGAACUGUACCUGCUGAACACCGGAUUUCAAGAAGUGUGCCUGGCUGACAUAUCGAAUAGCACUCCUCAGCCUGUUUAAUCUAAAUUGACUGCAUCUUUGUAGCAGCUGGCCACAGAGAAAAACAAAAGAAUUCUUGAUGAAAAAGGCACUUCUCUCCUGACUCAAGGCAGCCACAGCAGCAGCUAAACAUUUCAUAGCAUGCUACACACUGCUGUUCAGAUGUGGACAUUGGGAGGGAAGGAAAAAAUGAACUUUACAGAAGUGAAAUGUGCGUUAAUUAACAAGUUAGGGUUUUCUCCCCCACCCUGGAUGGAGAGAAAUGAGAAACGUAUUAAUGUCUGGUUCUUUAUACUUUCCAAGAUUUCUUCAGCGUUUCCUAAUUAAAAUGUAGCUGGAAAAUGAACACAGGGGAGAGGGUGGUAAACAGGGGUGGGGGUCUGUCUUCCUGGUGCUUUGUCUGGAGUCCCCAGCCUCCCACCAGCAGGGAUCUGCCCUCCCACGCGCAGACACUCCCAUCCAUGUCUGUGCGUGUUUCCUUCCUUGAGUCCCGUCAGGAGGUUGCCCACAUCAUCUGCACGGCUACUCAGCAUCCUCUGUUUUUGCCAGCUCAGGGAACAACUCCAAGGCCCACAGCAGACCAGCAGACACACUUGAGAUCCCUGUGGCCUCUGGAUCACCCCUCUCCACUCACAGCUCCUGACUUAUGUCACUUUAAAAGGGGUGGGGGAUGUCCUACCUGUUCUUGGACACCCUUGAUGUGUAAAAGCCACAGCUCCACGCAAUAACCCAUGAUUGGCUUGGGCUGGUGAAUGACAAGGGCAUUCUGAUACCUUUCCCC